GACGAACGCUGGCGGUGUGCUUAACACAUGCAAGUCGAACGGUAAGGCCCUUUCGGGGGUACACGAGUGGCGAACGGGUGAGUAACACGUGAGUAACCUGCCCUCAUCUCUGGGAUAACAGUCGGAAACGGUUGCUAAUACUGGAUAUGAGCUUGCAAGGCAUCUUGUGGGUUGGAAAGAUUUUUUUUGGUUGGGGAUGGACUCGCGGCCUAUCAGCUUGUUGGUGAGGUAGUGGCUCACCAAGGCUUCGACGGGUAGCCGGCCUGAGAGGGCGACCGGCCACAUUGGGACUGAGAUACGGCCCAAACUCCUACGGGAGGCAGCAGUGGGGAAUAUUGCACAAUGGACGGAAGUCUGAUGCAGCAACGCCGCGUGCGGGACGACGGCCUUCGGGUUGUAAACCGCUUUCAAUUGUGACGAAGCCUUUUUGUGACGGUAGCAGUAGAAGAAGCACCGGCUAACUACGUG
This 468-nucleotide ribosomal RNA is filed under the name uncultured bacterium. RNAcentral describes it as "partial 16S ribosomal RNA". It matches the Rfam family "Bacterial small subunit ribosomal RNA", at positions 28 to 507 of the family's 1533-position model. The record is from RNAcentral.